CUGAGCUCUGUGAGCUGAUUCCACCAGUGACUGAGCACAGACCAGCACCAUGGAGCUGGGGCUGCGCUGGGUUCUCCUUGUUGCUCUGUUGAAAGGUGUGCAGUGUGAGGUGCGGCUGGUGGAGUCUGGGGGAGGCUUGGUGCAGCCUGGGGGGUCCCUGAGACUCUCCUGUGUAGCCUCCAGAUUUGACUUCAGUAGCUAUGACAUGAACUGGCUCCGCCAGGCUCCUGGGAAUAGGCCUGAGUGGAUUUCAUACAUCUAUGAUAGUAGUAGUAUAAACUACGCAGACUCCAUGAAGGGCCGCUUCACCAUCUCCAGAGACAACAGCAAGAACACACUUUACCUGCAGAUGAACAGCCUGAGAGUGGAGGACACGGCCGUCUAUUACUGUGCUAGAGACACAGUGCAGGAAAUCCAGUGUGGGCCAGACACAAACCUCCCUGCAGGGACGCAGCAUCCUCCACAGAGCUGUCUGGCGUGUUAA
Non-coding RNA from Dipodomys ordii (Ord's kangaroo rat), 484 nucleotides. Lineage: Eukaryota; Metazoa; Chordata; Mammalia; Rodentia; Heteromyidae. The record is from the annotation of a RefSeq genome assembly.